This 495-nucleotide ribosomal RNA is filed under the name uncultured bacterium. RNAcentral's name for it is "partial 16S ribosomal RNA". It matches the Rfam family "Bacterial small subunit ribosomal RNA", at positions 28 to 507 of the family's 1533-position model. The record is from RNAcentral.
GACGAACGCUGGCGGCGUGCCUAAUACAUGCAAGUAGAACGCUGAAGGAGGAGCUUGCUCUUCUGGAUGAGUUGCGAACGGGUGAGUAACGCGUAGGUAACCUGCCUGGUAGCGGGGGAUAACUAUUGGAAACGAUAGCUAAUACCGCAUAAGAGUAGAUGUUGCAUGACAUUUGCUUAAAAGGUGCAAUUGCAUCACUACCAGAUGGACCUGCGUUGUAUUAGCUAGUUGGUGGGGUAACGGCUCACCAAGGCGACGAUACAUAGCCGACCUGAGAGGGUGAUCGGCCGCACUGGGACUGAGACACGGCCCAGACUCCUACGGGAGGCAGCAGUAGGGAAUCUUCGGCAAUAGACGGAAGUCUGACCGAGCAACGCCGCGUGAGUGAAGAAGGUUUUCGGAUCGUAAAGCUCUGUUGUAAGAGAAGAACGAGUGUGAGAGUGGAAAGUUCACACUGUGACGGUAUCUUACCAGAAAGGGACGGCUAACUACGUG